AGGCCCUUCGGGGUACUCGAGCGGCGAACGGGUGAGUAACACGUGAGUAAUCUGCCCCAGGCUCUGGGAUAGCCACCGGAAACGGUGAUUAAUACCGGAUACGACAACCGAUUGCAUGAUCUGGUUGUGGAAAGUUUUUCGGCCUGGGAUGUGCUCGCGGCCUAUCAGCUUGUUGGUGAGGUAAUGGCUCACCAAGGCUUCGACGGGUAGCCGGCCUGAGAGGGUGACCGGCCACACUGGGACUGAGACACGGCCCAGACUCCUACGGGAGGCAGCAGUGGGGAAUAUUGGACAAUGGGCGGAAGCCUGAUCCAGCAACGCCGCGUGAGGGAUGACGGCCUUCGGGUUGUAAACCUCUUUCAGCACAGACGAAGCGCAAGUGACGGUAUGUGCAGAAGAAGGACCGGCCAACUACGUGCCAGCAGCCGCGGUAAUACGUAGGGUCCGAGCGUUGUCCGGAAUUAUUGGGCGUAAAGGGCUCGUAGGCGGUCUGUCGCGUCGGGAGUGAAAACCAGGUGCUUAACACCUGGCCUGCUUUCGAUACGGGCAGACUAGAGGUACUCAGGGGAGAAUGGAAUUCCUGGUGUAGCGGUGAAAUGCGCAGAUAUCAGGAGGAACACCGGUGGCGAAGGCGGUUCUCUGGGAGUAUCCUGACGCUGAGGAGCGAAAGUGUGGGGAGCGAACAGGAUUAGAUACCCUGGUAGUCCACACCGUAAACGUUGGGCGCUAGGUGUGGGACA
RNAcentral lists this ribosomal RNA (740 nucleotides) under Nocardioides luteus. Its description in RNAcentral is "bacterial SSU rRNA". It matches the Rfam family "Bacterial small subunit ribosomal RNA", at positions 72 to 829 of the family's 1533-position model. Lineage: Bacteria; Bacillati; Actinomycetota; Actinomycetes; Propionibacteriales; Nocardioidaceae. The record is from RNAcentral.